RNAcentral lists this non-coding RNA (26 nucleotides) under Rattus norvegicus (Norway rat). Lineage: Eukaryota; Metazoa; Chordata; Mammalia; Rodentia; Muridae. The record is from RNAcentral.
UGGGGCUCACUGUUUCUAUUCCGCUC